This 410-nucleotide long non-coding RNA is filed under the name Carica papaya (papaya). Its description in RNAcentral is "long non-coding RNA (CPAP_LNC014134)". The record is from RNAcentral. Lineage: Eukaryota; Viridiplantae; Streptophyta; Magnoliopsida; Brassicales; Caricaceae.
AUUAAUGAACUUAACAGCUACCAAUUUUAGCUUCAUUUCUUCACUGUAGUUAUGGAAAUUGAAGAUGAAUUCUGCCUUUUAUUCCCACUCAAAGUAAGUCUCAACAUCAUUUCUUCCCUUAAAUGGUGGUAUUUAUAUCUUGAUGGACUUGAUGUCUCAUAUUCUCUCUAGCAGUCUCUUCUAUCACCCUCAUCAUUGUCACCACAGAAUUCAGAGUCUUCCUAAAUAGGUUGACAUCUAGUAAGGAGUGGACUAUUAUUCUUUCUUAGUCUUCCCUCCAUCCUAGUUUCUAGGUCUUUAAUGGCUAGACUGAGCUUGAUAAACAUGUGCUUCAUGCACUUUUUUAGAUUGGCUGAGGUAUUAUUCUCAUUUGGUUGAGAUAUGGUGAUAGCUGCAAGAAAAAAGUGUGG